Molecule: ribosomal RNA, 253 nt
Filed under: uncultured bacterium
Lineage: Bacteria
Description: partial 16S ribosomal RNA
Rfam family: Bacterial small subunit ribosomal RNA
Source: RNAcentral
UACGAAGGGGGCUAGCGUUGUUCGGAUUCAUUGGGCGUAAAGGGUGCGUAGGCGGCGCGGUAAGUCGGGUGUGAAAUCUCGGGGCUUAACUCCGAAACUGCAUUCGAUACUGCCGUGCUUGAGGACUGGAGAGGAGACUGGAAUUUACGGUGUAGCGGUGAAAUGCGUAGAUAUCGAGAGGAACACCAGUGGCGAAGGCGAGUCCCUGGACAUCUCCUGACACUGAGGCACGAAAGCUAGGGGAGCAAACAGG